UUAUUACUACAUUUUUUUACAAGAAAAUACAUUAAAUGACCAUCUCUAUUUUUCUUUCUGCCUUACUAUUACACAGACCAGUUCAAUUACAAAGUACUUUUGAUACAACACACUCAUAUGGAAACAAACAGUCAACACUUUAAUAUAUAUACCUUAGCAUACACUUUGUAAUAUUUGUACAAAAAGAUGACUAAUAACCAUUUUUGGUAAAGGGUUUACAAUGAAAAAAUAAAUAGAGACGUCUUUUGCUACAAACAAGCUUAAAAUAAGUACAUUGCAACCAAAAUUUUUGCUACCAACCCUACAAAAACUCUUAUAAAUCAAUCAAUUGCUCCAAUAUGGCUUCACCCAUCCAAUAGAUUCUUGCAAAACCUAGUAAGAAAAUAAAAUAUCAUUUUAGAGUAUGACUCUACACAUCAAUAUAAGAAUAUAACAAGGUUUUACUCUUUGUAAUGCCAACAAAGGUACAAAUGUAAAAGAAAAUCAACUUUUGAUAUCCAUGAGUCUCCCAAUCAACUUUAACACACCUCAACUAAUCUCAAGGUCAAGAAACCUUGUAGGAUUUUAAAUCUAUGGUAUGAGACCACUAUAAUUCGAACUCAAUCACUCAGAGAUUUUUUUUUUCAACGGUCUCCAUGACAAUACUUCUAGCCCUUGUCACUUCUUAUAAUUGGCCCCUUAUUACUCAAAUGGACAUAAACAACACUUUCUUAAAUGGAGAUUUUUUCUGAAGAUGUUCAUAUGUCCUUACUAAUGGGCUAUAACUUUCAAAGUGCUAAGAAAAGGGGAGAAACUAGCCUACAGACUAAAUAGAUCAAUCUACGAUCUUAAACAAGCUUCAAGACAAUGGAUUGUUAAGUUUGCAUCAACAUGAUCAUUACACGGUUUUCAUCAAUCAAAGUUCGAUUAUUCAUUAUAUACUCUAGGCAACGAAGAUGGUUUUGUGGCACCUAUUAGUAUAUCUAGACGACAUAUUACUAACUAGACCAUCCCUCAAGUAAUUGACUCUGUUAAAAGUGUUUUAGAAAGGACACUAUAAACUCAAAGAUUUGGAACAAGCUAAAUAUUUUAUGGGCUUAAAACUGUCUUGUUCUAAAAAAGGACUCAUGCUUUCCAAAAGAAAAUAUUGUCCGCAGAUACUUGAAGAUAUGGAUUUUUUAGAUGCAUAAAUCAGUAACGUUGCCUAUGGAUCCCAAUCUAAAACUCUCAAAAGAUGAAGUAAAAUUCAUUGUUGACGAGGAUAUCACUUGCUACACAAGAUUGAUUGGAAGAUAUUAUAUCCACAAAUAUCUCGUUCAGAUAUUUGUUUUGUUGUCCAUCGCCUUAGUCGGUUCCUUCAAAGGCUCACAAAAACUCAUUUAGAUACCACACGCCACUUGUUGAAAUACUUGAAGAGAUCGUCAGGCCAAGGCGUCUUGAUCAAACCAGUUGCUACUUUUCACCUAAUAGCCUUUGUUGAUGUUGAUUAGGGAGUAUGUCUCAACACUGGUCGAUCCAUAACUGGCAUUUGUAUCUUUUUGGGAGAUUCCAUAGUUUAUUGGAAGUAAAAAAAAAAAAAAAAAAAAAAGCAAGUCAUAGUCUCGAGAUCGUCUACAAAAGUCAAAUAUAGAGCACUAGCUUUAGUUACAAGUGAACACGUAUGGAUUACACAAUUACUCACUAAUCUACUUGUAAGACCCUCGUUACUAACAAUAGUAUUCUAUUCUAUGAUAAGCAGGCCACAACUGCAAUUGCUUCCAACCCAACAUUCCAUGAGAGGGCUAAACACACAUAGAUUGACUGCCACUUUGUUAGAGACAAAAUCGUCGAUGGAUUCCUCGAAGUCGUGCCCAUCAAAUCUAGACUACAACUAGCAUAACAAUUGGAAGUUUGUUAGGGUAAAGAGGUAGGAGCUUGUUAGAAUAUGUUAAACAUCAAACUUCCCCAACAAAGGACUUGAGCUUUGUAUUUAAUUAAUUGGUGGAGUUAUUUUCUGAUAGUAAGAUAAGUUCCUUUAUUCAACACUUGGUUACAUCUUAGAGUGUUUAAAAUCUUUUGAAAUAUAUACAUAUAUAUAUAUAUAUAUAUAUAUACACAAAGAUUCAAAUGUAACACAUUAUAGAAGAAAGAGGUUAUGUUAAUUAAACAUUGAACUCAUGUUAUCUACGUCUCUUUGAUUUUGCAAAUUGUGAUAUGGGGAAAAAAAGAGGACCACUACCUAGAGGGAAGAUUCAAAAGCAUGAUACGUGUAAGGCUCCAUCACCCUCCCUUUAGGAGUAAUCUACAUCCAGCUGGACAUACACAACACAUGAGAAAUGAUGCUGACAUCGACCAAAGGUCCCACGUGUCAUCUUUGUCAUACAAGGAUUAGGUUGCUUAUCGUGUGGUCAUCACAGUCCUUUCUUCUCGAAUUUACCCGCAACGCCACCGCCCACUUUGAUAUUUCAUUCGCCCUCUAUAUAACUUUUCCAAAAAUAUCUCACAUUUCAACUUUUACCCGUUUCCCAAAACCAAAACAAAUUCGAGUUAUUCUUCUCUUACAUGAAUUCCCACUUUUUCUGCAACUCUAUCUUCCAUUAAUGACUACGCUCGCCAAGCUCCACGUCUACCCACAAACUUUCGAUGGUCCAAGUACUAGAGAUGGGCAUCUGUUCGGAGCUCUUGGUCCGGGACUUCACCGGUUUGAUGCUGGAGUAUCGACAAGACGUGGUCGUGGGUUGUGCUUGAGAAAGUGUAGAUCCUUCAGAGGAGGGGAUGGUGGGGAUUUUGAGAAGGAGAAUAGUAAAGGGAGGAACCGGAGAAAUUCGAGGUUAAAAGAGGUGAAAAUGAAGAAGGAAAGUCAGUUUUGGAAAUUAUUGAGGUCUGGUGUUUUGGGUAAGUUUAAUUUGCUAAUGGGAUCGGAUGUUGAUCAGGGGAAGCUUAUGGCUAAUAUGGAGGGUUUGCUUUCUUCGGUGAGUAUUGCUCUGUGUUGCUCUUCUUAUGUUCUUCGUAAACCCUGUCUCAAGUUCAUGUAUUCUUUGUUCAUCAAGCGAUAUUGAGUUGUUUGGAACAAACUUGAGGAUUUUUCAAAUAGCCCCCUGAUACAUGGUUCUUUACCAUUACUUGGCUUGUUGAGCAAAUGUGCAUGUAGUUUUAGCUCAAAUCACUGUACCUUGAUGUUCGAUUUUUUUUAGUAUAAGAAACCAAUCUUAUAAAAGACAUUAAAAAAAUAUACUCAUACAUCCUCCAAGAAUGGCUGCAUUCGAAAGAAUGAUACUAAGCUGAUAAUUACGAGAAGUUUGACAAACGGAUGCCCAUAAGGAGGCUUUAAAUCUCGCCCCCUCCAUAUUUGUUCUAAGGAAUUCAAAUUGGAAGUUUUCGUUUUCGUUUUCGUUAUUUGUUUUUAGGAUUUCGAAUUUGAAUUUCGUAUAAUUGGAUAAAGAUAUGAAUGAACAAGAAGGAAACUACUCUGGCUACUGUGGCAUCAAAUUGAACCAAAGCCAACUUAAGUCGUAAAUGUAUAGAUCUAUUUUUUUCUAUAUGGUAGAUUUGAUGUAUGUAUACUCAUGAACCAAGGACAUAUGCUUUAAUUUUUUUAUUGGAGACUGUAGUAGUAUCACUGACUGUAGCUCCUUUAUUAUCUUUAAUAAAUAGGCUGCAGUCCAAAUUGGAAGAUAUAUUGUUACAAUGAUGAGCACUGGUGUCGUACUUGCUGUCGGGUUUCAGUUAUCAGGUAUACAACAUUUUAAAAUUAAAAAAAAAAAUACUAUUGUCAUUGUCGAUGUUAAUAUGAAUUCUGUUUCUUGAAAAUUAUGAAGGUGGUGACAGCCAGAUGAACACCUUGAUUUGGUAUAGUUGGCUCGGAGGGGUUAUUAUUGGAACCAUGAUUGGUGCGAACAUGGUAUUAGAGGAGCACUGCAGUGCUGGUCCACGCAAUGUUGUUAUAACUGGAAGGUAACUAAUCACUCCGCAGGGGGAAUGUAGAUAAUUGGCACAUUGUUUUAAUAAUUACGUGGUGAUAGGAAGAUUACUUUAUCUAAUGUUCAUUGUUGGCUUGUUUGAUCUUCCUUUGAUAUAUUAAACUGCCUGCCAUGCUCGUAACAUGAAGACUCAUAUAUGAUCUGUUG
This 4085-nucleotide long non-coding RNA is filed under the name Cucumis sativus (cucumber). RNAcentral's name for it is "long non-coding RNA (CSAT_LNC000206)". The record is from RNAcentral. Lineage: Eukaryota; Viridiplantae; Streptophyta; Magnoliopsida; Cucurbitales; Cucurbitaceae.